UUGAACGCUGGCGGCAUGCCUUACACAUGCAAGUCGAACGGCAGCACGGGAGCAAUCCUGGUGGCGAGUGGCGAACGGGUGAGUAAUAUAUCGGAACGUGCCCAGUCGUGGGGGAUAACGUAGCGAAAGCUACGCUAAUACCGCAUACGAUCUAUGGAUGAAAGCGGGGGGAUCGCAAGACCUCGCGCGAUUGGAGCGGCCGAUAUCAGAUUAGCUAGUUGGUGAGGUAAAGGCUCACCAAGGCGACGAUCUGUAGCUGGUCUGAGAGGACGACCAGCCACACUGGGACUGAGACACGGCCCAGACUCCUACGGGAGGCAGCAGUGGGGAAUUUUGGACAAUGGGCGCAAGCCUGAUCCAGCAAUGCCGCGUGCAGGAUGAAGGCCUUCGGGUUGUAAACUGCUUUUGUACGGAACGAAACGGUGAGCUCUAAUACAGUUUGCUAAUGACGGUACCGUAAGAAUAAGCACCGGCUAACUACGUG
This 484-nucleotide ribosomal RNA is filed under the name uncultured bacterium. RNAcentral's name for it is "bacterial SSU rRNA". It matches the Rfam family "Bacterial small subunit ribosomal RNA", at positions 30 to 507 of the family's 1533-position model. The record is from RNAcentral.